This 1182-nucleotide long non-coding RNA is filed under the name Nicotiana benthamiana. RNAcentral describes it as "long non-coding RNA (NBEN_LNC038712)". Lineage: Eukaryota; Viridiplantae; Streptophyta; Magnoliopsida; Solanales; Solanaceae. The record is from RNAcentral.
CAGAAGACAAAGAAACCACAGGCUGCUUUUUAGCUUUCCAACCAAUAAGAGAAUCACCAAUCAUCACACAAAAACCAAAGACAGACCUCCUGGUGUCUGGGCAGGAUGCCCAGUCACUGUCACAAUAAGCAGACAAGGAGAGGUCUGCUGUGUUGCUGAGAAAUAUGCCAAGGUCAGAGGUACCCCUGAGAUAUCUCAGUGUGUGUAAGGCUGCUUGCAUAUGAGAGGAGGUAGGCUUCUGAAGAUAUUGACUUAAGUGCUGGACAGCAAAAGCUAAGUCAGGUCUAGUGUGGGUGAGGAAAUUGAGCUUCCCCACCAAGCACCUAUAAACUUCAGGAGAAGGAAGAGGAUCUCCUAUGUCCAGUUUUAGCUUAACAGAGAGAUCAAGACGGAAAGUAACAGGGGAAACAUCCUCACAGUUAUAAGCUUUUAGAAGGUCAGUGACAAACUUCUUCUGGUGGAGGAGGAGUCCAACAGACUGGUAACUGACCUCAAUACCAUGGAAGUAGUUGAGCACCCCUAAAUCCUUGAUUUUAAACUCAUGAUCCAUAAAUGACUUCAAGGCAGAGAUUUCCUCCAAAUUAUUACUAGUGAGAAUGAUGUCAUCAACAUACACAGCUAACAAGACAAUAGAAGAGCCAGAUUUCUUAAGGAAGAGAGAGUAGUCAUUGAGAGAAGAAGAAACCCCUUUAGAACAUAAGGCCUGUGAGAGCUUGGCAUACCAUUGUCUUGAAGCCUGCCUUAAUCCAUACAAAGGCUUUUGAAGCAAACAGACCAAAGGAGAAGAAGUAGAAGAAGGAGAACAGGCAACAUCCAAUCCAGGAGGUAGUUUCAUAUAAACUUCCUCAGCUAGGUCACCAUGCAAGAAUGCAUUAUUCACAUCAAGUUGGAAUAGAGACCAAUGCUGUUUAAUAGCCACAGCAAUGAGAGACUUGAUAGUGGAGAACUUGACAACUGGAGAAAAGGUCUCAGUGAAGUCUACCCCCUCAACUGAGAGACCAAUUCUUUUAACAGCUACAGCAAUGAGGGACUUGAUAGUGGAGAACUUGACAACUGGAGAAAAAGUCUCAGUGAAGUCUACCCCCUCAACUUGGGUGUCACCCCUAACAACCAGCCUAGCCUUAUGUCUUUCCACAUACCCAUCAGCCCUAUAUUUGAUCUUAUAGACCAUUUGCAACCAAU